UUUAUGGAGAGUUUGAUCCUGGCUCAGGAUGAACGCUGGCGGCGUGCCUAAUACAUGCAAGUCGAGCGAACGGACGAGAAGCUUGCUUCUCUGAUGUUAG
This 100-nucleotide ribosomal RNA is filed under the name Staphylococcus aureus. RNAcentral describes it as "partial 16S ribosomal RNA". It matches the Rfam family "Bacterial small subunit ribosomal RNA", at positions 1 to 95 of the family's 1533-position model. RNAcentral also lists the same sequence under 1 other name. Lineage: Bacteria; Bacillati; Bacillota; Bacilli; Caryophanales; Staphylococcaceae. The record is from RNAcentral.